GCCGCAGUAGCUCAGUUGGAAGAGCGCCCGGCUGUUAACCGGGCGGUCGGUGGUUCGAGUCCACCCCGCGGCGCCA
This 76-nucleotide transfer RNA is filed under the name Candidatus Acidianus copahuensis. Its description in RNAcentral is "tRNA-Asn". It matches the Rfam family "tRNA". From Rfam's summary of the family: Transfer RNA (tRNA) molecules are approximately 80 nucleotides in length. Their secondary structure includes four short double-helical elements and three loops (D, anti-codon, and T loops). Further hydrogen bonds mediate the characteristic L-shaped molecular structure. tRNAs have two regions of fundamental functional importance: the anti-codon, which is responsible for specific mRNA codon recognition, and the 3' end, to which the tRNAs corresponding amino acid is attached (by aminoacyl-tRNA synthetases). tRNAs cope with the degeneracy of the genetic code in two manners: having more than one tRNA (with a specific anti-codon) for a particular amino acid; and 'wobble' base-pairing, i.e. permitting non-standard base-pairing at the 3rd anti-codon position. Lineage: Archaea; Thermoproteati; Thermoproteota; Thermoprotei; Sulfolobales; Sulfolobaceae. RNAcentral also lists the same sequence under 1 other name. The record is from RNAcentral.